RNAcentral lists this ribosomal RNA (497 nucleotides) under uncultured bacterium. RNAcentral describes it as "partial 16S ribosomal RNA". It matches the Rfam family "Bacterial small subunit ribosomal RNA", at positions 28 to 507 of the family's 1533-position model. The record is from RNAcentral.
GAUGAACGCUGGCGGCGUGCCUAAUACAUGCAAGUCGAGCGAACAGAUGAGGAGCUUGCUCCUCUGACGUUAGCGGCGGACGGGUGAGUAACACGUGGAUAACCUACCUAUAAGACUGGGAUAACUUCGGGAAACCGGAGCUAAUACCGGAUAAUAUUUUGAACCGCAUGGUUCAAUAGUGAAAGACGGUUUUGCUGUCACUUAUAGAUGGAUCCGCGCUGCAUUAGCUAGUUGGUAAGGUAACGGCUUACCAAGGCAACGAUGCCUAGCCGACCUGAUAGGGUGAUCGGCCACACUAGAACUGAGACACGGUCCAGACUCCUAGGGGAGGCAGCAGUAGGGAAUCUUCCGCAAUGGGCGAAAGCCUGACGGAGCAACGCCGCGUGAGUGAUGAAGGUCUUCGGAUCGUAAAACUCUGUUAUUAGGGAAGAACAAAUGUGUAAGUAACUAUGCACGUCUUGACGGUACCUAAUCAGAAAGCCACGGCUAACUACGUG